UAGUCAUAUGCUUGUCUCAAAGAUUAAGCCAUGCAUGUCUAAGUAUAAGCAAUUAUACCGCGAAACUGCGAAUGGCUCAUUAAAUCAGUUAUCGUUUAUUUGAUAGUACCUUACUACUUGGAUAACCGUGGUAAUUCUAGAGCUAAUACAUGCUAAAAAUCCCGACUUACGGAGGGAUGUAUUUAUUAGAUUAAAAACCAAUGCCCUUCGGGGCUCCUUGGUGAUUCAUAAUAACUUUUCGAAUCGCAUGGCCUUGCGCCGGCGAUGGUUCAUUCAAAUUUCUGCCCUAUCAACUUUCGAUGGCAGGGUCUUGGCCUGCCAUGGUUACAACGGGUAACGGAGGGUUAGGGCUCGACCCCGGAGAAGGAGCCUGAGAAACGGCUACUACAUCCAAGGAAGGCAGCAGGCGCGCAAAUUACCCAAUCCCGAUUCGGGGAGGUAGUGACAAUAAAUACUGAUACAGGGCUCUUUCGGGUCUUGUAAUUGGAAUGAGUACAAUUUAAAUCCCUUAACGAGGAACAAUUA
This 525-nucleotide ribosomal RNA is filed under the name uncultured microeukaryote. RNAcentral describes it as "SSU rRNA". It matches the Rfam family "Eukaryotic small subunit ribosomal RNA", at positions 21 to 550 of the family's 1831-position model. The record is from RNAcentral.